RNAcentral lists this ribosomal RNA (821 nucleotides) under uncultured eukaryote. Its description in RNAcentral is "SSU rRNA". It matches the Rfam family "Eukaryotic small subunit ribosomal RNA", at positions 629 to 1426 of the family's 1831-position model. The record is from RNAcentral.
CGGUGUUUAACUGGCGUGAUGUGGGACGUCCUACCGGUGGGCUUAGCCUCGCGAGGGGCGGCCCAACUAAUAUCCCGUCGCGGUGCUCUUUACUGAGUGUCGAGUCGGGCCGGUACGUUUACUUUGAACAAAUUAGAGUGCUUAAAGCAGGCUAUCCUCGCCUGAAUACUGCGUGCAUGGAAUAAUGGAAUAGGACCUCGGUUCUAUUUUGUUGGUUUUCGGAACCCCGAGGUAAUGAUUAAUAGGGACAGAUGGGGGCAUUCGUAUUGCGACGUUAGAGGUGAAAUUCUUGGAUCGUCGCAAGACGGACAGAAGCGAAAGCAUUUGCCAAAAAUGUUUUCAUUAAUCAAGAACGAAAGUUAGAGGUUCGAAGGCGAUCAGAUACCGCCCUAGUUCUAACCAUAAACGAUGCCAGCUAGCGAUCCGCCGAAGUUCCUCCGAUGACUCGGCGGGCAGCUUCCGGGAAACCAAAGCUUUUGGGUUCCGGGGGAAGUAUGGUUGCAAAGCUGAAACUUAAAGGAAUUGACGGAAGGGCACCACCAGGAGUGGAGCCUGCGGCUUAAUUUGACUCAACACGGGAAACCUCACCAGGCCCAGACACCGGAAGGAUUGACAGAUUGAUAGCUCUUUCUUGAUUCGGUGGGUGGGUGGUGCAUGGGCCGUUCUUAGUUGGUGGAGCGAUUUGUCUGGUUAAUUCCGAUAACGAACGAGACUCUAGCCUGCUAAAUAGGCGUACCUUAUGGUAUCGCGAAGGCCCCCGGCUUCGGCCGGUGGGUUUUUACUACCAACGUACAAACAAAUCUUUUUAGAGGGACAGGCGG